RNA transcript from Monodelphis domestica (gray short-tailed opossum), 1442 nucleotides. RefSeq lists it as uncharacterized. Lineage: Eukaryota; Metazoa; Chordata; Mammalia; Didelphimorphia; Didelphidae. The record is from RefSeq and is a predicted model, not a curated record.
UGUCAAAAACUUCAGAAAGAGAAAACCAAGGCCAGACGUUUAUGUGUUUUGGUUGGCUAAAGGACUGGAUCUGACGUGGGGAGGUAGGGCAGGAGCCCUUUGUAGACCUACUGAAGAAACUGUGGAGGAAGAUCUUGGUAUGAAGAAGAGGGAUAAUUUUUAAUGACUGUGUGAGUUAGGAAGAACAAAUGCUAUUCAGUCAUUUCAGUCCUGUCUGACUCUUCAUGACCCCAUUUGGUGUUUUCUUGGCAAAGAUCCUGGAGUGGUUUGCCAUUUCCUUCUCCAGAUUAUUUAACAGAUGUGGAAACUGAGGCAAACAGGGUUAAAUGACUUGCCUAGGGUCAUGUAACUAGUAAGUAUCUGAGGCCAGAUUUGAACUCAGAUCUUCCUGACUCCAGGACAAGCAGAAGAACAAAUGACUGGAGGUAAAAUCAUCUAAUAUUUGAGUGCUAGGGGGCUGGGUUCUAAUCUUACCCUUACCCUACACAUGGCUCAGGGUCUCAAAGGGGUUUGUGGGAACACCUUCUGGGCAUCAUUUCUCACUCUUUCCAUCUGCCUUGAAGGAGGGUGCUGCCGUAACAUUCUAGCAGCCUUCCUUCCAAGCGGGAACAUCUCUGAAAGCUGAGAAAUGAGGGAAACCCUUUGAUUCAGACACUUCCCCUCUCUCUACCUCAGUUUCCUAUUUUGCCGUAAAGGUCUCCUCCAGCUCUAACCUUUUAAGAUUCAUGACGUUGCAGAUUUUCCAGAAUGAGGGAGGCUGUAGGGGCAGACAGAGCCGUUGCUAACUGGGAGAACUGCUCAUCUGUAGCUUGUUACCCUGGGGAAUAAGAAGCAGAAGCCAAAUUGGAGAAAACAAUAUUCUGUUUCAAGGCAAAUAACUUUGGUAAUAAACAACAUGGGGGAAGAAGGAGAUAAAUCCCUGAUGCUGUUUCUAAAUGUGGCCGGUGUCCUCACUGUGCAGGAAGCCAUGGUAGGGGGGAAGAGGGGUGGGUCUCUGGCCACGGCAUGGACUAGAACGUGGCUUUAUGAAACCAUCUUGGGAAUAAUCCCUAGAACCCGGGCCGAGAGACAAUUUAGAAAAUGUCCAGUUUGUUCCCUGUGUUUUACAAAAGAAGAAACUGAGGCUGAGGGAAGGGAACAUAGCCAAGGAGCCAGGACCUGAUUGUUUCCUGAUGUGAAAUAAAGUAAUUUUCUUUGUUUUGUUUUGUUUUUGUUUUUGUUUUUUUUUGCUUUAACAGCAUCAAAGAAAAGCUCAUGACCCAAGCAGACAGGUUCAGUGAAGAAGAGAUCAAGCAGAUGUUUACAGCUUUCCCUCCAGAUGUGCGCGGCAAUCUCGACUAUAAGAACCUGUGCUAUGUCAUCACCCACGGGGAAGAGAAAGACUAGGGGAGGGGGAACCCCCCAGGGUCUCCUCUGGAAGCACUUAGUGGCAAAGGUGAAAG